UCUAACUUUAUAAUCGAGGAUAGGAAUGAUGUGACCAUGUACACAGAAACUAUCUCGUCAAAGCUCCUGCGUGCGUCAUGAUUGACAGAUCAUCGGGGUUCGAAGGACAGGUAGAGUCGGCAGAACGAAGGCUGAAGCCAUUCCUAAAAGGAAAAGGUAUGCCAACGGAUANGGUCCGACAUGUUCUGUAAUAAACGUCUUACGACGUGAAA
Molecule: non-coding RNA, 212 nt
Organism: Anaerobacillus sp.
Lineage: Bacteria; Bacillati; Bacillota; Bacilli; Caryophanales; Bacillaceae
Source: Rfam